Hyaena hyaena (striped hyena) is the source of this 385-nucleotide long non-coding RNA. RefSeq lists it as uncharacterized. The transcript is spliced from 3 exons. Lineage: Eukaryota; Metazoa; Chordata; Mammalia; Carnivora; Hyaenidae. The record is from RefSeq and is a predicted model, not a curated record.
GGGACCCUCAAGAGGAGGCAACGUUCAUAACCUGGCCUUCCCAUCGCUUCACAGACGACCCCAGGAUGGAACAGGGCAGGUUCGCAGGGAGCUGGAAACGGAAAAUCUAGGAAAACGUAUCCUGCCAUCUGGUGGACAGGGCUGGGGACUGGGAAGAUCGGAUCCCACCAUCCGGGACACUGCCAUGUGCCAGACGCGGCUCAUAAGACGGACGUGUUCCCGUAACCCCAGGAGGGAGGCAGCAUCACCAGGCCAGUGUCACAGAUGAGGGAGUGGCUGAGGCCCAGGGAGAUGCCCCCGCAGCCUUGCUGUCCUUCCCCCCCUCCCCCGCUUUCUCCCCAGUCCCCACUGGGCUGCUGGGCUGGCAUGUGCGAGGCAGAGAGGA